Long non-coding RNA from Cyprinus carpio carpio, 1333 nucleotides. The record is from Ensembl. Lineage: Eukaryota; Metazoa; Chordata; Actinopteri; Cypriniformes; Cyprinidae.
GCGUGCUUCAGAUCUCCGGAGAUAGCAUGGUACGCUGUGUCCAGCCCAGAGGUGAAAGCCAUCCAAAGCAGAGUAACUGUGCUUUGUGUCCAAGUUGAUACCUGUGGAGAGGAAAGGAAAGAGAGAGUGAGUAACACAAGGAGAACCAGAGGGAACCUGUACUUACAGUACGCUGUGUCCAGCCCAGAGGUGAAAGCCAUCCAAAGCAGAGUAACUGUGCUUUGUGUCCAAGUUGAUACCUGUGGAGAGGAAAGGAAAGAGAGAGUGAGUAACACAAGGAGAACCAGAGGGAACCUGUACUUACAGUACGCUGUGUUCAGCCCAGAGUUGAUACCUGUGGAGAGAAAAGGAGAGAGAGUGGGUAACACGAGGAGAGACCGAGGAAAACUGUACUUACGCCGCUACCUGUGGAGAAAGAGAAAGCGAGUGAGCACCCAAGGAACGAACUGUGUGAACCAGUACUUACCGUGAGCUGUAUUCAGCGAAGAGGAGGAAGAAGGAGGGCGCUACGGAUACCUAAGACUCAGGCCGGGGCCCGAGUCCCACGCCCCGGAUCCCCGUGGCCCCCUUUCUCCCUGACCUCUUCCCGGCCAUAGCCCAUCUGGAGGGCCGAGUCAGAGUUUAGUUUUAAUUGCCCUUUCCCUAUUCCCCAAGCUAUUUUUAAAUAUUUAAAUAAAGAUUGUUUUAUCAUUUAUUUGUUCUCGUGUUGUUUGGCCAUUGGGUUGGCUUUGGGGACCUCCUCGAGGUGGAAGUUGAGAAGGGGUGUGGCUUAGUCAAAGCAUAGCCAGCCCCUGGGUGUGACAUUUACAUAGAAAAACUAUGUAAAAGUAGCGCAUUGGAAUCGAAAAAAUGCACUCUUUGUGAAUGGCCCCUAGGUAUUCUUGGGCUGUUUUAAAAAAAAAAUAAAAAAAUAAUAAUAAAUAAUAAUAAUAAAAAAUAUAGAUAUCAGAGUUGUUUGGAGUGGGGAUGAAUUUACCGUGAUCUGCGGUGACAUUACAAUCGUGUUGCAUUAUGGUAAAUGGGGCGGCCUGAAGUGAACAUCUGAAGUAGACCUGCUCCCUCUAUCAAAAUCGAGAGGUCGAGGGCAUAGGUGGAACAUGUGUAAGGCUGGCCAUGAGUACUUGGGGCAAAAACGCAACUAAAUUGGACAAAAAAUGCCCCUGCACAAACAAAUUAAAUCUAUUACGUCUGUUGCUAAUAAAGUAAAAAUAAAUAAUCAGUGUCGAUUGUGGCAUCAAAUUAAGAUCUGCUCGUGUUGCAUCGUAUUUCAUUUUAGAUGUUUUUACAGUGUUGUGCAUUUUAACCAAUCACACACAAUUCUGUUGAGCUAAGG